UGCCUAAGACAUGCAAGUCGUACGAGACGGCCCAAUGAAACGGAGUGCUUGCACAAAGUGGAUUUGGAUUUUCGUCUAGUGGCGCAAGGGUGAGUAACACGUGGGUAAUCUGCCUUGGAGACUGGAAUAACAAUUGGAAACGAUUGCUAAUGCCGGAUGAAAUGCAUAGCAUAAAGUUGUGUAGUAAAAGGAGCCUUUUAAAGCUUCACUUCAAGAUGAGCCUGCGGCGCAUUAGCUAGUUGGUGGGGUAAUGGCCUACCAAGGCGACGAUGCGUAGCCGAACUGAGAGGUUGAUCGGCCACAUUGGGACUGAGACACGGCCCAAACUCCUACGGGAGACAGCAGUUAGGAAUAUUCGUCAAUGGGGGAAACCCUGAACGAGCAAUGCCGCGUGAAUGAUGAACCGGUCCUCUGGAUUGUAAAAUUCUGUUGUUGAGGAAGAACGUUCUGUGUAGGAAAUGACACAGGAGUGACGGUACUCUUCAAGAAAGCUCCGGCUAACUACGUGCCAGCCGCCGC
RNAcentral lists this ribosomal RNA (519 nucleotides) under uncultured bacterium. Its description in RNAcentral is "bacterial SSU rRNA". It matches the Rfam family "Bacterial small subunit ribosomal RNA", at positions 45 to 518 of the family's 1533-position model. The record is from RNAcentral.